UGGGGAAUUUUGGGCAAUGGGCGAAAGCCUGACCCAGCAACGCCGCGUGAAGGAUGAAGUAUUUCGGUAUGUAAACUUCGAAAGAAUAGGAAGAAUAAAUGACGGUACUAUUUAUAAGGUCCGGCUAACUACGUGCCAGCAGCCGCGGUAAUACGUAGGGACCAAGCGUUGUUCGGAUUUACUGGGCGUAAAGGGCGCGUAGGCGGCAAUUCAAGUCAUCUGUGAAAUCUCUGGGCUUAACCCAGAACGGCCAAGUGAUACUGUCGCGCUAGAGUGCAGAAGGGGCAAUCGGAAUUCUUGGUGUAGCGGUGAAAUGCGUAGAUAUCAAGAGGAACACCUGAGGUGAAGACGGGUUGCUGGGCUGACACUGACGCUGAGGCGCGAAAGCCAGGGGAGCAAACGGGAUUAGAUACCCAAGUAGUCCCUG
Molecule: ribosomal RNA, 427 nt
Filed under: uncultured bacterium
Lineage: Bacteria
Description: bacterial SSU rRNA
Rfam family: Bacterial small subunit ribosomal RNA
Source: RNAcentral